GCGCUGCAGGGCGGCCGUGGCCUGUACUGAUGGGGCCGCCACCUCCACCUCCAGUGACGGGAACAGGGGGGGUUGGUAACCCAGAGAGCACAUGAAGGGGGACAUACCAGUGGCAGCGGACACCUGGGAAUUAUGGGGGUAUUCAAUCCAGGGGAUGUGGGAGCUCCAAGAGGCAGGGCUUCUGUACACCACAGACCUGAGUGCCGCCCCCAGGUCCUGGUUGACUCGCUCGGUCUGCCCGUUGGCCUGGGGGUGGCGCCGAAGGCGCGGCAGAAGGCCCUCCAGACCUGGGAUGUAAACUGGGGGCCCCGGUCGGAGACGAUGUCCAGCGGGAUGCCGUGCAGGCGGAAGACAUGGUCGAUGAGUAGGCGGGCAGUUUCCAAGGAGGUGCCCUUUGGGUGGGAAACCGGUGACUCGCGGGGAAAGUACGCGCCGAUGGAGGCGCUCGGUGUAAAGUCAGCAGAGAGAGUGAGGCGGAGAUUGAGAGGGGGACAGCGGUUGCGCGGAGCAGGGUUCGGGCAGCCCGACAACUUGUUUUAACUGCAAGCAUUUCACCAACUUGAAGUUCUUCAGCUGCAGAAAUGAAUGCAGCAUCAUUAUAUCAUGAUGAACCUCACAUAAUACCUUAAAAGGCGAUGACAGUUUUCCUCAUGUGUAAGAAAAAUUAUUUCAUGGACAAAAUAAUCAAAGCAUGUACUCAAACAAGCAGAGAAGAUAUGAAAUUGGUGACAAUAAAAAGAACUGAGGAAUGAAAAACUGAGUGGAAAAACAGUAACAUCUGCAGUAGUUACCUGUUUUCCGACAGAGGUGAUAAACCAAGAGAGAGGAGAGGAGAGAGGAGAGAACAGCAAACGCUGGACACAAAGAGAACAGCAGCAUCCAGCAUACACCACAGUCUUGUGGAGUGCCAUGAUGAUACGGCUCAUUGGUGUCUGGUAAAAAAACAACAACAAAAGAAAAACAGAAAUUUUUGUCAAUUAGCUUUGUGAUUCUGAUUUCAACAUUUUUGAUGUAUUACAUCUCCUAUAAUUUAACUAAACCCAUAUUUCCACAAAUACAUACAGGCUGAUCUCAAAAUAAGAAUUACAAAGAUAUUGUUGGGUUUUUAUUGUGAUCCAGUAUGUCAACACCAAUGUUUUAUGUUUCUGGCUCAGUUUCAACUUUCCAGGUUUACAGACCUUUGACAACAUUAAGAUUCUAGUAAACAAAUGGGAAUAAUCAAACAUCCUCAUUUAAAUAAUGUCUCUAGUUUGCUAGUGUUUUAACUUCAAAAUAAGGUGCAUGAGAACCAUUUUCCCCACAUAUACGAGUUUUCUGAAAACUUAAAUUAGAUGUUAUUCCAAACCUACCAUGCAAAAAAUAAGCGAGUGAAAUGUGCAAUGUUAUCCUCCUGAUGAUUGGUCUACUUCAACAUUAUAAUACCAGCAGAACAUUCCUACUGUAUGACCACCCAAUUGUAUCGUUAGAUUCACUGCAUUGGAAACUAAUUCUCAAAUAGAACUUAAUCAGAAUACUUACUGACUAGGAUUCUUAUUGUGUCGUGGCCAUAUCUGUAAACAUAUCUGGGAGUAAUGUAUCCUUUUCCCUCCAACGUGUGUUUUUCAGUUCCGCAGUAGUAGAGGCCCCCAUCAGAAUCAGUGAUGUUCAUGAUCAGCAGGUCAUAGGAUUCAGACGACUGGUUUUUCACCAAAUGAAAACGAGGGAAGGGAUUCAAAAUGUCUUCACUGUAACUGUUUUCCAACAGUUCCUCAUGCGGGUAUCUUGUUCCCAUAAUAAGUGAAGGCUGGUUCACAUGAGAGCAGUUUCUGUACCACACUAUGUAUACUCCAGUUGAUGUUUUGCAGUCGCAGUAAAUAGUGAUGUUGUCACCUGGUCUGACUGUCAUUUCCAGCACUGAUCCAGAGGUCCAAUCAUGACUGAAAGAAACGACUCCUGAAAUACAAAGUCACAAAAGAAAGUUAAAAAGUUUCCAAUCUUACAGUAUUUUAGCUCACAACAAAUGGAGGUUACUACAAGGGAAAUCUAACAAUUUAAUUUUAAUCUUAAAAAACGUUACCAAAGGAAAUCCCUGAGAGAACGAUGAUAAAAAUGUGCAACCUAUCCAUGUGCGACCUGGUGUUGAAAGACAGUCAAACCGCUGUUACUCUUUAUUUAUGACAUGCGCAGAAUUUUCCUUUAAAGGAAAUGUAAGUUGUGAUUGGCUUCGUUGAAUGGAACAAUUUCUUCUGUGGUUGUUUUUUGUAAGCGCGAUACUACGCUGUGUUUUAUGCAGAGAUGUAAAGACAACACUUUGUCUUCUGUGAUUUGUACAGUUAAAUCUCUAGUCGCUACACUUCCAGCUUGACUGAAGACAUGCAAAACCUAUAGUAAUGCAUUUUGUAGGCUAUAUACAGUAUAUUUGGUCCACGUUUAUUUACAGAUAGCUGUGGUCAAGACCCAUUAUGCUUGUAAACAGGAACUAUGAUGUCGCCAUGGAGUCAGUUUGUUAGCUGCGACAACUUGAGCCUGUAUUUGAUUACACUUUGGCAAACUGGCACCAUUGAAAGAAUACUGAAUUAGCUAUCAGCAAUGAAUAUUAUAUAUGAUGAUAAUAUGAUGCAAUAACUGUCACUGAAUAAGAAGACGAAAACUUAAUAAAGUCUUGAUUGUUA
This is a long non-coding RNA of Micropterus dolomieu (smallmouth bass), 2651 nucleotides long. RefSeq lists it as uncharacterized. The record is from RefSeq and is a predicted model, not a curated record. The transcript is spliced from 2 exons. NCBI's taxonomy places the organism in Eukaryota, Metazoa, Chordata, Actinopteri, Centrarchiformes, Centrarchidae.